GACGAACGCUGGCGGCGUGCUUAACACAUGCAAGUCGAACGGAAAGGCCCUGCUUUUGUGGGGUGCUCGAGUGGCGAACGGGUGAGUAACACGUGAGUAACCUGCCCUUGACUUUGGGAUAACUUCAGGAAACUGGGGCUAAUACCGGAUAGGAGCUCCUGCUGCAUGGUGGGGGUUGGAAAGUUUCGGCGGGUGGGGAUGGACUCGCGGCUUAUCAGCUUGUUGGUGGGGGAGUGGCUUACCAAGGCUUUGACGGGUAGCCGGCCUGAGAGGGUGACCGGCCACAUUGGGACUGAGAUACGGCCCAGACUCCUACGGGAGGCAGCAGUGGGGAAUAUUGCACAAUGGGCGGAAGCCUGAUGCAGCAACGCCGCGUGUGGGAUGACGGCCUUCGGGUUGUAAACCGCUUUCGCCUGUGACGAAGCGUGAGUGACGGUAAUGGGUAAAGAAGCACCGGCUAACUACGUG
RNAcentral lists this ribosomal RNA (468 nucleotides) under uncultured bacterium. RNAcentral's name for it is "partial 16S ribosomal RNA". It matches the Rfam family "Bacterial small subunit ribosomal RNA", at positions 28 to 507 of the family's 1533-position model. The record is from RNAcentral.